This 274-nucleotide ribosomal RNA is filed under the name uncultured Pseudomonas sp. Its description in RNAcentral is "partial 16S ribosomal RNA". It matches the Rfam family "Bacterial small subunit ribosomal RNA", at positions 1111 to 1382 of the family's 1533-position model. The record is from RNAcentral. Lineage: Bacteria; Pseudomonadati; Pseudomonadota; Gammaproteobacteria; Pseudomonadales; Pseudomonadaceae.
UUAGUUACCAGCACGUUAUAGGUGGGCACUCUAAGGAGACUGCCGGUGACAAACCGGAGGAAGGUGGGGAUGACGUCAAGUCAUCAUGGCCCUUACGGCCUGGGCUACACACGUGCUACAAUGGUCGGUACAAAGGGUUGCCAAGCCGCGAGGUGGAGCUAAUCCCAAUAAAACCGAUCGUAGUCCGGAUCGCAGUCUGCAACUCGACUGCGUGAAGUCGGAAUCGCUAGUAAUCGUGAAUCAGAAUGUCACGGUGAAUACGUUCCCGGGCCUU